This 20111-nucleotide long non-coding RNA is filed under the name Lactuca sativa (garden lettuce). RNAcentral's name for it is "long non-coding RNA (LSAT_LNC008999)". The record is from RNAcentral. Lineage: Eukaryota; Viridiplantae; Streptophyta; Magnoliopsida; Asterales; Asteraceae.
AUCUCCAAGAUGUGACCACACCUAGACCUUGCCUUGCCAAUAGGGCCUGAGUGACCUUAAACUUUUCAAGAACUUGUGGGUUAGGGAGAAUAAUUUGAAGAGGUGAAGAAGUAUGAUAUCCAUGGGACAUCAUCUUCAUUAGGAAACCUUGUUUCAAGAGAUUUGGGAAGAUCAUAGGUGUCUAAACCAGACAUCUUUUGGGAGAUAUUCAAGAUAGUUGAUUUAAAGUCCUUAAUAUGACACCCAAUAUGAAAUAUUAAGGCUAGGACCCAACAAACUAUUUUAUAACUUAGAAGAGGUAUGCCGUAAUCCAAGCUAUAAAAUAUUUGAAGGUAGGUGAAUGACGAUUCACCAAUUUCCACCAAGAUAAACGAAAUGUAUUAUUAGGUUUUAAUUGGUUUUGAAACUCCUAGAUCUUUGAGAUUCAUUGAACUUUUCAAAGGCAUGUUUCAAUCUCGAGUGUGCCCUUCAGGUUUUGUGACUGGGAUGCCGAGGAUCACAAAACAAGGUGUGAAGUAACCAUGCAAAUCACUUGGUACCCUUAAUAAAUUACCCCUCAAUCGAUGUGCCGGUUAACCACACACGCUCCAUCGAUACUAUGAUAAAUAUUAAGUCACCCUUUACCUACCUUGUUAAGUCCAAGUUAGUGUGCCGGUUAACCACACACGCUCCACUAACGACUUAGACAAAGUGUAAAGUGUAAUUUCAUGGAUUAGCACCUUAUUCACAUUUUUCCUAAGUAACUAAGAUUGGGUAUUAUUAAGAGUUUAGUUACUUAGUAUUAUCAUUAAUACUUUUAAUGAAGGGAGAAUUCUAGUCCUGUCAAACCCGUUCGGCUAACGACCCUCCACCAGUCAAGCAAGCGGUGGGUGAGAGUGGACACCCAUUAAGUUGCCAUUUUAUAGGCAACAACCUUAUACCCACCUUAUAGACCGGCUUCGUGAAUGAGGCGUACUAGCGGUAAGACUGACUUUACUCUUAUACAUAUAUAUAUUAUUAACUUAUAAUAUUAUAAAGUAUAAGGGUUGAAUUUUAACUUUUAAAAUUCUAAGGGCUAACUUGGAAUUAAAGUAUUCAUACUUGAAAACUUUUCAAAUUCCAAAACUUGAGGGCAAGUUUUGAAACUAUUCAAAACUAAUUAAUUCCAUAACUUAUGUGUUUAAAGUAGUUUUAAUCCAAAAACUCUUCAAGUUCCAUAACUUGAGGACAAGUUAUGGAAGACUUUAAACUAAUAAAAGAACUAACUUUUUCUUUAUUUUAUAACUUAUGGAUUUAAUUAUGGUUACAUAUUUUUCUUUAAUGAAGUGACUCUUGAACUUCCAUAACUUGAGGACAAGUUAUGGAGUCAAAAAAAAUUAUUCAAUGACACAAGACUCUUCAUUUUGUAACCAUUGCCAACUUUUAUGAGUUUUAUGAGUCUUUAAUGUGACUCUUCAUGUAACUUGAGGACAAGUUACACAAACACAUUUUAUACUCAACUCUUAGAUUAAAAUGGAUUGAAAACAACUAUUUCACUCAACUUUUCUAUUAAUCUAAGCAACUCAUAAGAACAAGAUAAUUCAAAUCAAACUUUUUCAUGUAAUUAGUCUAAACCUUAAACUAAUACAAAACAUGAAUCUAUUGACAAUUAUCUUUGAAAAUGGAUUAGCAUGAACAUUACCACAUCAAAAACAAGUUUAUAAGUUCAAAAACAACUUAGGGUAAUGUUCCUAGUCCAUUUCUAGCCAAAAAACUCGAAAAUAUGCUGUCUGGGGGUCCAACUCGUCGAGUGCAUGAACAAACUCGGCGAGUUGGAUCGAAUUCAUCACUUUUUAGGCAUGGACUCGUCGAGUCUCCUGAUGGACUCGCCGAGUCUGAUGGCCAGACAGCACCAGAUUCGUUUUUUCAGCUUCUAUUGCAGGUAUAACAAGAAAACAAGCCUAGGCUCUGAUACCACUGUUGGGUUUUGAGCAUUCUAACACUCCUAAGUGUACAUGCAACCCUAAAUACCUUGGAUCUAUGUUUUCUCUAUUAUACAUGCAAAUAUGAACAUCCAAGGUAUUAUCCUAAUCUAGCAUACAAAACAAUGAAUAUAACAAGAUAGAAUACAUACCUCUUUGAUGUAGAAAGUCUUCAUGAAGCUUGAGUGCCUAGUGCCCCAAGUGUGACACCUCAAAUGGUUCACACAACACCAAAUACACUUGGAAUAACUUGAGAGAAUUCUACACUUCAUGAAAAUCGGCUAGCCAUUUCUUACUCUCUCUAGUGGCUGAUUUUGGUGAAUAAUAUGAUGCUUAUAUAGUUAGGGUUACACCAUGUAAACCCUAAUUGACAUGGCCUUUCAUUUCCAUGAUCCAUGGGUACAAAACACCAUGAAGCAUCCAUGGAGAAUCAUAUGGGUUUAGCCCAACUUGAUAAUCCAUAGAGCAUUAGCCCACUAUAUAAGUAUGGAUGAUUUACACAAUCAACCCAUAUAUUUAAUUAGUCUUCUUUUGAUCACUUAAUUAAUCCUAGAUUAAUUCUUGAUCAAUACUAAUUAAAUAAUCUUAUUAUUCUUAUUAUUAAUAUACUAGAACUUAUAAUAUAUUAAUAACCAUAAGUGUCUUAUUUCUCUCAUUUUAGUCUAUCCAAGUGCAUGAUGCCAUGCAACCCAAAUGGAACAUGCCUAGUCGGGUCAAGUCUUACCAAUUAUAGUUAUGGACUUAGACAUUAAUCCAACAUGAAUUUCGAUUUAUAUACUAGAUCUUAGGAUUUGUUGCUUUGGAAUUCCAUUUGCAUGUUCAACUACUUAAGAACAUAGAUCCAAAGCAAUUAGGGUUGCAUGAACACAUAGGUUGUAGUUAUGCUCAAAACCCAUCAGUUUUGUCACAACUCUUAACUUCUCCAUCAGCAUCACUAUCAAGACAUGCCUAAAAGGAGUUAAGUCUGUUCGAGUCAAGUCUGCAAUUCUCAGGAAUAAUUUCCUCGAUAACACAAUAGUUUGCAGCCUUAGAGUUUGGAAGAUAAACUCUAGUGCCCCUAUGCCGUGUGGAAUUACCGAAGCCUGAUUCAGGUCUAGGGAUAUAAGAGGCUGAAGUUGCAUGGAAUCAAGGCAUGUAACAGUGAUUGGUUUGAAAUCAAGAAUCAAUGAUUGAUAUCCUUUCAAAGUCUCUUGAAGCGACAACAAUGUUGAGACAUGAGUAUCCGAAAAUGUAAGGUUUGGAAUGUCUACCACAAAUGUUAGAUUUUGAAGUUUCUUAAUAGGACAAUCAACAUGUUUUGAAAACUCGCUUCCAAGACUAGGUUCUUUGGACAAAGGAUGAUGAAAAUUUUGAGUCAUUAGUCCAUUUUAUCCAAUCAUAUCAAAGGAAUUAUGCAAAUUAUCAAUAUUAGCAUUAAGACACAUGUUAUAAUUAGAAAGAAGAUUUGCUUCACAAACUAAAAUCACACGUUUUUCAUUUAUAAUAAUACAUUAAUCCCUAGCUAUUACAUUUUCAUGUUCUAAGGACUCUAUCUUAAGCUUGCGAUCUUCAAAGCAUAAUCUAAGAAUGGAUAAUUUACUCUCCAACUUCUCACUCACAUUUAUGGCAUACUCAUAGGCUUUAAGAAUCAUUGUCAUAUCUAACUUGAUCUGAGUUAGAUAAGGUUCACAAACAGAUAAAUAAAAAUUAUUUUCAGCAAUCAUAGAUUUUACCUAUCAGAUGAUGCUUCUAUCCGGUGGGUCGGUUGUUUCCAUAUAGUAGUAGUUAGGCUCAACAUCCUCAUCUCCAUCUUCUGAACUUGAAGACACAUAGCCUUGAUCACACUCAAUGGUUUUUAUAGCCAUAAGACACAAAUUUCUCCAAGAGUUUCCUUCACCCAUAUCACCAGGUCACCAAUACCCAUUAACAUUCUGGGAAAUUGUAUUUACAAAUGCUUUUUCACCAGAUGACCAAUACCCAUUAACAUUCCAACACCAUACAAUCUUGGUUUUGGCUAGAGUAAAAAUUUCUUGAGGUUUCGAGGAGUGAUUCGAAAGGUUAGGUAGAUAAGUUGGUGGAUUUUCAGUAGGUUUGCAAUAAGGUUGAGGAUUGUUUUUGUGAGGAGCUGAAAAUCUAUUCGGAUGAGGUUUUUUAAUGGGAUUCCAUAGUCACAUGUAUUUCAUUGUUAGAAGAGAAAACUCUUUUUGGAAACAAAGUUCGGCAUCUGUAGCUUCUGUGUCACACCCCCAAACCGGAACGGCGGAAACAUUCGGGGGCGGAGGACGUCAUGUUUAGUAUCACAAGGCAAUGCAUCAUAGUAAUCGAAGUAAUAAACAACCAUUUCAUUAGAAAGAAAAUAUUUACAAAGUAUGUGGUUCACAAAACAUAUGUAAAUAACAAACAAGACAAGAAGUUAUUAUGCUCCAUCUUCUGAAUCCCAGUGUGCGUACCUGUCUACUAGUUUCCUGAGAAUACAAGUUAUUUUGAAAGAGUAGAUCAACAUUUAAGCUGGUAAGUUAAUAAGAUUUUAGUGAUGUAAGUAAGUUGUAAGUUCUUUUUAGAAAAGUUCGCCUGUUCCUCAAGAAGAUCCUAUAUCUUAUGAUAUGAUGAAAGAUAAGUAAAAAAUGACUCUACAAUCCUUUCUAUGAGUAUUAAAUGGAUACAAGUUAUAUAAAAACCAAAGUAAACAAACAAUUGGUUGUGUGAAUCUGCCCUAAGCCCACAACCAAAUAAGGAAUAGGAAAUGAGGCGGAAGUCGCACAUCCCAUUGUUUGUUAGGUCUUCAUUUUAUAUAACCCUGGUGUAUUGACUUGGUACUCAAGAAGUUUAUUGUAAUGGUUCCUCUAUAUUUGGUGAAAACAUUCUUUAAGGAAAACCCUUAUUUCCUUUAGUAAAAUAGUAACCACAACAGUUCCGUCUAUAAUCAUUUAGUUUAUACUAGUUAUAUAUAAUCUAAUAUCUAACAGAUAGUUAAUUGUGUGAAUCUUCCCUAAGCCCACAACCAAACAAGGAAUAGGAAGUAAGGCGGAAAUGACAAAUAUAACUACCUAUCAGAUACUAAUUAUAUAUAACCCUGAUGUAUAAACUAAGGUAUUAUAGAAUUAACCACUUAAGGUCGUUUAAGUUAUAUUGGUUUAGUAAAAUGGAUUAAACCCUUUACUGGUAUGUUUAUAGUUUAGUUUACUCAUGAUAUAUCUGAAACUAUGUUUUUGUACUAGAAAACGAUGUAUUGAGUUUGUAUCCUAUAAUGUGACCUAUACCUGGUAUUCCUUAUGAUUACUUGGUGUAUACGGAAUAUAUAUAGCUAAGAUCGAAAAAAUAGUAGACUGGGUGUAUCUGCUCUAAGCCCACAACCAAACAAGGAACAGGAAAUGAAGCGGAAAGCACACAUCCUACUAUAUGUCGGACCUCAUUAAUACAUAUCCCUGAUGUAUAAACUAAGGAAUCAUAAAGCUAGCAUUAUAGUCUCCUUUCUACUGAAUGUACUAAGAUUCGACUGUUUUGUUUGUCUUUUGUAAUGAUGUAAGUUUUCAUUAAUGUUUGUAAAAGUGACUACUGAAGCACUAACUACCUUAAAAUCAGUUUGAUAAAUAAGGUUGAAUGUGAUGUGAUUAUAACCAUACUGAUAUGACAUGUGAUUUAGCACAACGACCUAAAGGCACUGAAACUGAUGUGACAUUUGUCACUCGUAGACUUACAAGCCCCACUAUAGCUACUAGCAAGGUGUGGGGUGUCAAUCCCGUAUAGAUCUAUACACAAACUCAUGCUCUCCCUCUAGGAGACUCUGGUUACAAAACGCAACCUAACAAGUAUAUUGCUAAGUUGUGAAGUAGUGGCUCACAUUACUGUUAUAGUAUUCUUGUUCUAGUGUAUUGUAAGUUCUCUUUGUAUAGUGUAUAGUAUGUUCCUCCCUAUUUCUCAUUAUAGUAUGUUCCUCCUUGUUUCUCAUUAUAGUAUGUUUGAACUCCUAAACCAUACCUAUUAUAGUUUACUACUAUGUUUACUUGAUCUGUUUCUGACUUGAUGAAAAAACUCAUUUCACUACUAAGUUAUGAUUGUACUUUAAAAAUGAAGUUUUAUAAACUAUAAAGUAACAUAACUUAAAAAGAGCUUUUGAAAUGAUUUGAUCACUUAUAAAAGUAUAAGAAAUCCUUCUGAACAUGAUGCUUAUAACAAAUAAUAUUUACACAAUUAUCAUUGUGUUCAACUUGUAUCCCCCCCUUUUAAAAGCAUUUAAAACAUUUAAAAGAUUGAUUAUAGGGUAUGAACUCACCUUAUGUGGUUGAUUCAAUCGAAUAUGCGCGUAAGGAUGAGAAGUUCCACGAAUGAAAUCCCCAAGACACAAACGAGUCCUAAUGACAUAUAAUGGCAUAUAUUGACAUGAAUUUAGUGUUUAAAGCAAGUAACAUGCAAGGAAACACCCUUAGGGACUCGGAAACACUGGAAACUAAGUGUUUCAAUCAUAUGUGAUUGUAUUAUGGGUUUUACGGCCACACCUAGGUGUUUACGGCCAUGAUGUUUACUGUCUAGGGUGUUUACGGCUAAGGGGUUUACGCCCAAGGGAGUUUACGGUCGUAAACUCCUGGAGAUCUCCUUCAAAACGUUUGUUCCAGGUCUUUAGGCUAAUGAUUCUACUAGGUAGCAAGUGUAUGGAAGGAAUACUAAUGAUUAAGAAGCUUUAAAAGGGUUCACGGCCACCAAGAACAAGUGUGUAUUCUUGGUGUUCUUGGUGAAAGUUGAUGAUCUUGAAGAUCUAACAAAAAGAGGUGAUUUCAUGAAUGAAUCAAGAGAUGCUUACAAGGCCAAGAAGGAAUAACAAGAAGGAUGGAUGAAUCACUUAUAAUUUUUGAAGAUCAAGACGAAGAUCCUUAUGAUACUUGAGAGAGAAAUCAAGUGUUCUUUAGAUGAAAGUGUAAGAAAUGAAUAAAAGUGAAGGAAUAUGAUACUUAUGGGCAUGAGUUCAUGGCUUGCAACAGUUUACGGCCGUAAACUCCUUGUUUGCGGCCGUAAACUCCUUGAGAUGGAGUUUAUGGCUUGAAUGAUGUACAAUGAACUCAAGUAGAUACUUCCUAACACUCAUUCCUUGGAUGUAUUAGGCUUAGAACACUCAAACAGACCCUUACCCAAGAUAAAAGAUAGCAGAAACGAGUUAGACAUUUGAUUUGAUUGAUUGACUUUACUGGAUUGAAAUUUUUGGGUUGUCACAUUCUGGAUCAAAAUUUUCUUCAUAAGGGAAAUUUAGAACAGGUGAAACAGGUUGAGUAGGUUGAAUAGGUGGGACAACAUUGAAUGGAUUCGAGAUAGUUGGGUUAGGAAGAAGUGGAUUUAUGGAACUGGCGAGAAUGAAAGGACCUCUAGAGAGUUCUUUUAAGGUUUGAGGAACAUUAGGCUCGUGACCUUAUAGUUUGUCAAACAACUGAUAGAGCUUCAGUUACUUCACUAAUCCAUUACGCUGAAAAGAAGACAAGGCAUUUCCCCAUCCUUUUCUGAGACUUUUGAUAAACAUUAGAUUGUACUGAAGAGGGGUUUGGAUAACACCAUGUGUGUUCAUGUUGUGCGCCACUAUUCUAUACGAAAUUGAUGCAGAGUCAAUAGAUGCACCAGGAGUGGUAGUGAAAGUAUCAAAGUCAUUCACUAUAGAUGUCAAAUGCUUACCCUUCAUGUUUGUCGAUACUUCAGACAGAUCUUAAAGUGUGUCCCAUAUCUCCUUUGCAGAUAUACAUAACUUAAUGUACUCCAGGAGAAAUGGUGGAACACCAAACAUGAUUCCCAAAAGUAGAAUCUGGUAUGCAUGGAUUUUCUUGACAUCAUUGGCAGCUAGAGGUGUUGGUCGGAGCUCGUCUUGGCCUAUGAGAGUGGCAACAACAUCUCUAACCAUUUACCUAAUAGGUACAUGACGACCUUCUUUCACAAACCUUCAUAUUUCUUGAACUUUUUCUUUACCAACCAAAAAUCUCUCGAUUCUAACAUUCCAGUGAUCAAACUCAGCAAUGGGCCUCGUGACGAGCAACCCACGCUAUUUGUGAUUUGCAUUGAAUACAUUUGUUGAGAUUGAUUCGAAGCAGCCAUUGAUGUUUAGAUAUAACAGUUGAAGUGCUAUAUAGAAGAACUGUUAUCCUAAACACAUAAAUGAUUGAUAUACCAAGGUAAUCUUCAACCAACUAUAAUAUGUUCUUAUAGAUUCAAAGGACAACCUGUUAGGAUUUGAUACCAAUUGUGAAAACAAGGAUUUGUGCGGACAAGGUUUGAAAACUCAAACCAUAAGUUAAAUAACGUAAAUGGUUGCUAAUAAUAUUAAGUCCAGUCUAGUUUAGAUGAACCAAUCAACCUUGAAGAAUAUAACUGAACAAAGUGCUCCAAUAAAGUAAAGUAUGAACAAUGAAAAAUAUUAAGAACAAGAAGAAUGUUAGAGAGAGAUGAAUGACUUAAUAAUUCUUGAUUUGAGUGAAAUGAAGUGGUUACUGUUUACAAGGUUUGACACUCCUUUUAUAACCAAGGAGUUAAAAAAAGACAAAUACAAAUAAAGUGUCUAUGGACUGAAGAUUAGUAACUUGACACUAGAUAAAAAAAUAGUAAAGUGUCUAUGGACUGAAUAAUUCUUGUCAGUUGUACGUCACUAGAUAAAAAAUAGUAAACAACAAAAAGUACUUUUACUCUUCUUAUGCAUAAAAUUCUACUCAUCCCUAAAACAACAUGAUCCUGGAACUCUAUUCUAUUCGGAAACCUUCUCGUCUUGAACUAUACAUCAUGUCAGAAAUAGGCAUUUUGGUUCGGAUUUAUUAUGGGUCACUUUUCAUGCACUAAUAGGAUCCGAUGAGGAUUCAAAAAAAGUGAUGAAGACAAGGACAAUUCUACACCAUUCACUUCUUUGGUAGCACAAACGUCAAACCCAAUACUUGGAUGUGACACAUUCACAUGUGACGCACGUCCAUGGUAAUUAAUACAGACUAGAGAAUUUAAUCACAUGCGACGAAUAUCAAUGAAACGUCAUUUAAGAAAGUUUAUUACUUAUUUUUGUUACUUUUAUUUUAUUUUAUUUUUAAAAAAAAAAUUAUAUAUACUCGGUUUUAAGUUUUAUAAUUUUAUUUUUCGUAUGUUUUUCUAUUUUUCCGUUUUUUUUUCGUUCUUUUGUGUUUUUUUUAUUUCUUUACUAUAUAUUUGAAGGUACUAGUAUUUUUUUUACUUUUAUUUUUCUUUUUUAUUUACUUUUUGAUUUUUUAUUCUUUUAAAGUAAAUAUCGGUUUGAGUUUUGAAUGUUUAUCAAUUAUAAAAGUUUAAAAAAAUAAAAAUAUUAGGCGUCAUAAUACUUUACGUUCAUAUUAUUUUUAGAUCAUUAAGUUUUGAAUCAAAUUAUUUUGAAUCAUAAUAUUUUGGAUCAUAUUAGUUUGGAAUCAUAUGAUUUUGGAUCAAUAAUAUCUUCAAUUAAGUAAAUGUUUUGUUCAUUAACAAAAUUUUAAUCAUUAUAUAUUUCAAAUCAUUUAUUUUUAAAUUAUUAAAGAUAUAAAUAAAGAUCAUAUAAUAUGAAUCAAAAUAUUUUUAGAUAAUAACAAUUUAAGGAUCAUAAAUAUAUUGAAUCAUAACUUUUGUUAAAUCGUAAAUAUUUUGAAUUAUUUGAUUUUAAAUCAUAUUAUUUUCAAUAUUAAAAACAAUUAUAAUCUUUUAAAAUAAGAUUUGGUAUCUUAACAACCUCAUUUAUACAAAUUUCUUUUCAAAAAUUUUAUAAUAUGAUGUAUGAUAAAACUAUAAAAAGAUUUUUACAUUGGAGAACCAAAAUUCCCACGUGUUAUUUUUAAUAAAAAUUUAAAACCAUUUAUACAAACGUUUGUAUAUUUAAUAAUAUAUAUUUUUUAAAAAAAAUUAUAUUAUAAACUAACUAAAAUAGUAUCAUGAAGAACUUUAUCAUUUGUUUUUUUUUUUUAAUUUUAUUAAAAUUUCUUAUAUAUUUUAGAAAAACAAUAUUUCUUAAAAUUAAAUAAAUACAACAAAAACUUAACUUAAAAAAAUUAGUUUUUGAAACAGUAUAAUGAGUAGAAACAGACAUUAACUUUUCAUGAUUUUUGAAGAAUUUAUUUUUUUGUAUUUUUUUUAUAAAAAAAUUAAAGAACUAAGAAAAUAAUUUUUAUCAAAAUUUCAUGGUUAUGCUCAGUUUAUAGAGAAUUAAAUUUUAAAUACUUUAUUUUUGAAUUUUAUAAAAGAAAAAGUUUUAUGACCAAAAAAACAAAAUAAGUGGAAAAAAUCCACCAAUAUGACACAAUCAGGUGAUACAAAGAGAGAAAACCAAAAGAGAUGAUGUUAUGAGACACAACCAAGUGAUACAAAGAGAGGAAACGAAAAGGGGCAGAUGAUGCUUAUGUUGUAUGCGUAUUUAUCAUUUUUUUUUUCUUUUUGUCUUUUGUCUACUUAACUAUAUAAUAAUUAAUUUUUUUUGGAAAAUACCAAAAUCUCAUAAAUAAUUACAAAAAUGAAAUAUCAUAUCACGAGAUUUUGACAACAAAUAAAAUUAAAUUCUAACUUAUUAUUUUCAAUCUUACGACAUAGAUUUAUUAUCGCGGUUCUCAUAAAUAUAUUAAUUCCUCACCCAAUCAUAAUUUCUCUCUCUAUCUCUCUCUCUCUCUCUCUCUCUCUCUCUAUAUAUAUAUAUAUANNNNNNNNNNNNNNNNNNNNNNNNNNNNNNNNNNNNNNNNNNNNNNNNNNNNNNNNNNNNNNNNNNNNNNNNNNNNNNNNNNNNNNNNNNNNNNNNNNNNNNNNNNNNNNNNNNNNNNNNNNNNNNNNNNNNNNNNNNNNNNNNNNNNNNNNNNNNNNNNNNNNNNNNNNNNNNNNNNNNNNNNNNNNNNNNNNNNNNNNNNNNNNNNNNNNNNNNNNNNNNNNNNNNNNNNNNNNNNNNNNNNNNNNNNNNNNNNNNNNNNNNNNNNNNNNNNNNNNNNNNNNNNNNNNNNNNNNNNNNNNNNNNNNNNNNNNNNNNNNNNNNNNNNNNNNNNNNNNNNNNNNNNNNNNNNNNNNNNNNNNNNNNNNNNNNNNNNNNNNNNNNNNNNNNNNNNNNNNNNNNNNNNNNNNNNNNNNNNNNNNNNNNNNNNNNNNNNNNNNNNNNNNNNNNNNNNNNNNNNNNNNNNNNNNNNNNNNNNNNNNNNNNNNNNNNNNNNNNNNNNNNNNNNNNNNNNNNNNNNNNNNNNNNNNNNNNNNNNNNNNNNNNNNNNNNNNNNNNNNNNNNNNNNNNNNNNNNNNNNNNNNNNNNNNNNNNNNNNNNNNNNNNNNNNNNNNNNNNNNNNNNNNNNNNNNNNNNNNNNNNNNNNNNNNNNNNNNNNNNNNNNNNNNNNNNNNNNNNNNNNNNNNNNNNNNNNNNNNNNNNNNNNNNNNNNNNNNNNNNNNNNNNNNNNNNNNNNNNNNNNNNNNNNNNNNNNNNNNNNNNNNNNNNNNNNNNNNNNNNNNNNNNNNNNNNNNNNNNNNNNNNNNNNNNNNNNNNNNNNNNNNNNNNNNNNNNNNNNNNNNNNNNNNNNNNNNNNNNNNNNNNNNNNNNNNNNNNNNNNNNNNNNNNNNNNNNNUUUUUAGAGGCUACACAUUUUGUCUUUUCUUGUUUUAGCAAAAUAAGACCACAUGGUCCUUAAGAUCUUUAUUUUUCACCCACAAAUUUGGUUGAAUAUCAUCACCAUUUCAGGACCAUAGAGGAGUUAAGUUGUCGGAUUUUGACCGUUCCACUUAAUUCAUAUAUUCAUUCAAAAAGAAAAAAACAAUAGUUACUUAUAUGUGAAACUUUUAGUGGAAAACUAAGAGCCAAAUAACUUUUUAAAAUUUCUUGUAAAUUAUGAUGAUAUAUAGAAUGUUAAAUGUUUGUUCAAUUUCUAUUGAAUACAUAAUUUGAAAUGUUCCCUUAAAAGAAAGACUUACUUAUGAAUAACAUAGUUGUUUGACGAAGUAAUCUAUGGAUUGACCGAAACAACUUUCAAAGUAAUCAUAGUUUUGGAGUUGUGGAUUUCAUUUGUUGAUUUCCUUUUAUCAUUCACCUUGACAAAAUGCUAGUGGGUUUUGGGACUUCGGUCGAUGGAACCAUAGUUUUGAAGAUUUUUUGUUAUGAUAGACAGAGAAUUCUUUGACUUGAGGUUGUGGAAAAUAAGCCUAUAAUUACAACAAGUAAGUAAUAUUUAUGUAAUUAGUGUUAGAUUUUGGAUUUUAUGAAUACCAAUGAUAACAUGGAUAACACAAAGAUUGUGUUUUAUGUAUACGUUUUCUAAAAUCUACGAUUUCAAUCCUAUAGUUUGGGGUAUCAUGAAAUCUGAUUUAGGAUAAUCCAAGAAUAAUCAAAUAGUAAUUCAUGCUUUUUCCAAAUCCAAAACACAGAAUAUACCUGUUAUUUUGUGUUUUAGAGAAACAAAGAGAUGCAAAGAAAUCAAUAUUUGGUUAUACUUAAGUUUUAACCUUUGCAUGCAACGUUCAUCUUCCUUUUAUACAUAGAAGACGGCGAUUAAGGUUGAUUAUGAAGAGAAAACCUCCAUUACAUCAUCAUCAUGUAAUUACUGGAUUUUAGUGGAACUCCAGCUAGGGGCAAAGCCCCUAGACCGCGAUAGGGGCGAUGCCCAGGACCCCCAUAUUGUCGAGUCCAAAUUUAUUACAUCGAGUAUGCACCCCACACAUCUAUCCUUAGUGGGUAUAUUAAACCCACCGAAUCUUUAUAAUAAUGCUAACUAUACUAAAAUAUGUUGAUAACACUAAAAUCACCAACAUUCUUCCAUAUUUUAGUCUUGUAACGACGUGAAAAUUUAAACAAUUUUUCAUUUUUCAAACAUAACAUUUCUCAUAUAAAUCAACUCAAAACACAAGUGUAUCAAAUGUUAUCACGGUAACUCAUAUCCCAGAAUCAAAGUACAAAAUCAUCUGUCAGUGUGUACAAAUCAUGUCGGCGCCUUCGCAUGAUCCUCGGUAGUACCUGAAACACAUAUCGCAUAACACGGUAAGCAUAUAUGCUUAGUGAGUUCCCCAAAAUACUACAUAUAGCACAUAAGCCACUCGAGGCUAUAGCUCUACAAGACCUUUCGGUCCAUACCAUAUUGACCUUCCGGUCCAUCCACUGCUGACCUUCCGGUCCAAACCCUGUUGACCUUCCGGUCCAUACAAUACUACUCAUAACAUACAUAACAUAUGCAUAUCACAUAGAAACAUAUAUCACAUACUCGUCAUAGCACAUAAGACCUUCUGGUCACACAUAAUUACCAUUCUAGGUAAGGUAUAAUGAGAGGACUCACCUCGUAUGAUGUCUAGUAACUCACGUGCUCGAAUCCCCGAACUCGAAACAAUGACCUAGCCCCCGCCUAAUUACAUAAAGUGAUUAUCUCAAAUCAAUAACGACUCUCAAGGCUAGACCAAUCCCUCCCUAUGUUCUCUCAGAAGGCUAAAAGACCAUUUUACCCCUGUAAUGGUCCAAAAGUCCAUAUGUUGACCAAAUCUUAAAAGUCAAUGAAAGUCAACUAUAGGGAGUUAUGUUGCGUAUACCAGCUCUGUACGCGGGGCAUAAUAUGCCGUCAUCCAGAAUCGGGGUACUCGACCCCCUACGCGGUGCGUACUGGGAUUACGCCCAUCGUAAUGCCCAGUUUCCUACUUUCAUGAUUUUUGGUCUGAAUAGAUUAAGACAUAAGCUCAUAUCUCAGAUCUAGGCACUCUACUAUCUCUUAAGCCAUAAAGUCGAAACCUUUAGGCCUUUGCAUGUCUUAAUCUUAACAUCCAAGAUUGGAUUUUUAUGGAUCUACAACACAAAAUACAUUGAAAUGGGGUAGAUCAAGGUCCAUGGAGUUCCUUUGCUCAAAAAAUCUCCACCUUUGGGACUUAAACCCUAAAAAUGCUCCUAUAUGAUGUUCAUAACAAAAGAGUGGUAAAGUUUGAAGCUUUUUACCUUUAUGAGAAGCUCCCUACUCAGUUAAGCUCAGAUCUAGAAGCUUGGACUCCAAUCCUUCCUCUUCAAGGCCAUCUCUUCUUCUUCUUCACAAACACACAAAGACACUUUAAAGCUCCAAAAACACACACACACACACAUAAAAGUUUAGAACAAGGUUUAACUCCUUUAGGGUUUCACUCGCUGGAAUGGUGGUUGGGAUGGAGCCCAUAGCAUUCCUUUUAUAGUGCACAAGUCUCAUUUAGGGUUUCAUGACUGAGCCCAGUACGACCGACGUACACUAUGGUACGCCCAUCGUACUUGGUAGCACCUACGUCAAGAUCACGCUCAUGAGUACAUGCAACGUACUCUUCAGUACGCCCAACGUACUUAUUUGAUACUUUCCUUCCAUGGACUAGUUUUGAAAACUUGGAAAAGAAAAGGGAUUAAAUAGAUAUACCUGAUUCCUAGACGUUACAGUUCUCUCCACUAGGAUCAAACUUCGUCAUCGAAGUCUCACUCUGCAAAUAACUCUGGAUGCUGCUCCUGCAUCUCCGACUCCGGCUCCCAAGUCAGCUCGGACCCUCUCUGAUAUUGCCACUGGACCUGAACUAAAGGCACCUCCUUGUUCCUCAAAACCUUGAUCUGCCGAUCCAAGAUCACAAUCAGCCUCUCAUUGUAAUCCAAGCUCGCCUCUAGCGACACUACCGCCGUCUCAUCGGCUAUACACUUCCUUAACUGGGAUACGUGGAAGGUAUCGUGGAUAUGAAUCAACUCCUCAGGUAUCUCGAAACGGUAUGCUACCUAGCCCACUAUAGUGAUCACCCUGAAAGGACCAAUGUAUCGGGGCCCCAACAUGCCCCUCUUCCUAAACCGGAUCACUCCUUUCCAAGGAGAUACCUUCAGGAAUACAAAGUCUCCAACCUGGAACUCGAGUGUGGAUCGUUGCCUAUCCUCAUACAUCUUAGUGGCCCCGGGAUGGAUCGAGAAUCUCGAUUUGUGCGCCUCCUCCAUCAAUAUGCUACGUGCCCCGCCCAUAAACUGUUGGGUUUUGGUAUACUACAACAUCCUAUGGUGCACAUACAACCCUAACUACCUUGGAUCUAUGUUUUCGCUAAUUAUACAUGCAAAUGAUUUUCAAGGUAUUAAUCUUACAACUAGCAUGCAUUUAACAUAAAAAAAUAUAAUAUACUAGUUAGCAUGAUGUACCUUUUGAUGGAGCUUGAAUUCUUGGUGUAUUUGGCCUUAAAGAGCUUAGCCCCAAUAGUGUGGAAGCCUCAAAUGGAAUCACAACACACCAUGGACAAAGGAUGAACUUGAGAGAGAAUUCCAUGCACACAAAAGACGCCAUGAACUCUAAAAAGAUACAAGUAGCGAUUUUGGGCAAUGAAGUAUCUAUUUAUAUGUGGCAUUUCUAGGGUCAUGGAUAUAACCCAAAUUCAUACCCAUGGGUUUUAUGAUCCAUGGUUCAUGUAGCCCAACUCUUAAUGUAUCCAUAAUAAACUUGGUCCAACAUGGAUCAUAAUCCCCAACACAUAUAAAUAUAACUAAUUAUCAUAAUUAGUCCCCAUAGAUUUAAUUAGUCUCUUUUGACCACUAAAUUAAUUCCAAAUUAAUUCUUGAUCAAUACUAACUAAAACAUAUGAAUUCAUAUUAAUAUAUUAUUACUUAUUAGAUAUUAAUAAACCAUAAAUAACCUUCUCUCAAAAGUCCAUCCUAACAAAUUCUCCUGAUGAUAUGCAACCCAGAUGGACCAUGCUACUCUCGGGUCGAAUACAUACCAAUAAUAGUUAUGGACUUAGACACCUAACCCAAUAGUCUCCCACUUGGAUAAGUCUAAAAGUAUUAUUCACGUAUGACUCCAAGAUCCUGACUAGCAAUCGUAGCUUUUAAAGCCGCUGUCAAGCUCUAAACAAAUCAAAUGGCAUGUCCAUUAGAUAAGGGAUCAUAUAUUCCUCCAUUCUAGAUAUCAUAUGGACUGAGACAUGGAUUAUAAUCAUUCUCUCUGUCCAUUUGUUGUUUCCCGAUUUCAGAUUUAUGACGACUGACUAAUUAAACAAAUCAAAUCAGUCCAGGCCCGGCCGAGCACUUACGUUUGUCAUCACCAAAUCAUUGAGGGGCCCACAUAUAUCGCUUUUAUCCCGAAGGUAAAAGGAAUGGAUAAACUUAGACUCAUAUGGCUUCUUCUACUACUUGUUGAAUCAUACACAAAGGCACGUUUAAUAACAUCGAGUUACCGAAUGCGUUUUCAUGCAAUCAAUGUACAACCAACUCAUAAUAACAACUCAUAUAUAUAGGUUUGAAGAAUAUAAGAUAUUAUCGUCUCAUGAUCACUCAUGAUAAAAUCCAUGAAGUGAUUCAAAUGAUCAUGGGUUGAAUCCAAUACUCGAAUCCCUAUUCUAGGAGUACUCAUGAAUGUUGCAGUAACUCUUACUAUGCCCACUACCUUGGACAUCUACAAACUCGAUUCAUGACAGUCUUGCCUUAAUACCUACUUCCAACGUAUUAUCAACUGUGUAUGGUUUGAAUAACUUAGUCAUUCAGAAUGAAUGACCUAGGUAUUCUGGAAGUCAAAACAUGCAAAGUGAAACACAAGAAUAAUACUAAUCCUCUAUGGUCCCAAGCACCUUUGAGAGUAAAUAAAACACCUUUUAUUUAAACACCAUAUUGAUUACGCAUUAUUCAUUGUAUAAUGUUUCAAAUAAUCAACUUUAUACUUGAAUUAACUAUAAUUGUCCCAUGCUUCAAGCAUGUAAACUAUGCUUUGUAAACACUAGUCAUGCCAUACAUGAAGUAUGCACACUAUGUUUAUCUAUGAUCUUUACUUUGUGAAAUAGAUCAAUUGAAUAUGAUUCCAAUGAUGCUCAUUUCACAAUCCCAAAUCUUUAUCGUAAAUGUAAGAAUUCCAAAUCCCUACAAUUUAACAAAAUAUGUUAGAUUCUAAACUNAUUCUAAACUAUUUGCAUUGAUCCUCUCGUAAUGACUAUGCACAAAGUCACAAAGCCUUGUCAACAAUCAUUAUAGAGUAUCCCAAUGGAGAGCAUUCCAUGGAAUCAAAGUCUCAAAUUCAAAGUACAUUGUUUUUAACAACCUUCUUGCAUUAAUUUUCCUAAUCUUACACAGAUUAAAUGAACAACUUCUACCUUUGGGAAUAUUUCCAUAUUCUCAUUUUGACUGUCACUUCUGAACAAGAGCUGCCUCUUUUCAGAAUGUGUCAAUUGUGGUCCUUUCCAAAAAUUAACACUAUAUUUCCAACUAUCCCUGAGCAACCAAUCUUUGGUAAACCUUAGAUUGUCCUCGAUAAUUGUUUAAUCAUUUAAGUCAUAUCCAAUUCUAGAUCUUAAUGCCUUAGGCAUUCAGAAAAUUUAGAAAGGUUAAAUAUUAUAGCACAUGCAAUCGAUCCUAUAUCCGAAGCAUAUGGGACACGAUUCAUGAUGUCUUACAUAAAUACAUGAUAAUAGACCAAUCUUUUGCUACAAUAUUUUUUUAUUUUGCCAUGUUCUCAAAAUUUGACUAUGAAGAGGGAUGCCGUAAUCAUAAUCGNUAUAGAUAUAUAUCCCUGACUAAAGAAGAUCAAAAUCUCAAUCUAAGCUUUUAGAAUUGAAAUGAAGUAUAAUUUCCUCUCCCUUAAUUAUAGCAAAACAACAUUUCCCAAUUGAAACCCUUUUGUUUUCUAUACUUAACACUUAACAUAAUAAUCAUGCUCCCACUAACAUGUUGAUUAUUAUCAUAACACUUAUGCUCCCACUAGCUUUUACAUGGACUCAGAAAAUUGCUGGACUUCUAGAAAUCAAUACUUUAUUGACUUUCUUACUAAAGUUCAGAUUUCUGAUACAAGAUGCUUCGAUAAAACUUUAUCAAAAUCAUACUCAUUUCCUCAGAUAGCUCAUAUGUGUGUCUAAACAAUUUUAUAGAACAAUGAAAAGGGAUACCAUAAUCAUAGUCUCAAUUGUUUAGACAUUUGCCAUUUCUGACAAGUCAAUACUAGUGUGCCGGUUAACCACACACACUCUACUAACGACUUUGAGAAUGCAAAUAUCACAAUUGCUAUCUACUAAAAAUCUACUUAGUGAAAGUGUUUGCUCACCAUCAUUUUCAUGAAUCAGAGAGAAACCUUCUAACACUUAGAUUUUAUGGUGUAUGUGUUCCUUUCCAUGUGAAUUUUGUCAAAACCAUAAUCACAAAACAAGGUUAGAGACAAUUUCAAAUUCAUAUGGACUGAGCUUGUGCAGUCUUAACUUCUUGUCAUCUGGCAGCACAAGGGCCUGCCACUGCUUCCAAGUUGUUGUGCAAUCACUUGAGGACUCUCAAAACUCCUAUGUAAAGCCAACUUUAACUGGAAUGGGCACAGAAAUGUCAACACGAUAGAUUAUAAACCUCAAAUCGUGUGCUAGUGAAGAAGUAUAGGUUUUAUUUUUGAUUAGUUCUUGAAACUUUCAAGACCUUGAAGACUCCCACUGUCCUCUUGAUAUAUAAGACUCUCUUGUCAAGAACCAUUGUUUGACAAAACAAAUAUUCAAGGGAAAGUGUGGAUUCUUAUCAAGACUAACACUUCACGCAAUUUGUCUAUGUUGAUCUCUAUUUUAUCCAAAACAUCACAACUUACCAUUUUCAAAUGUACAAGAGUAGAAAACAUUUUACUCUUACAUUUGACUAGUGUUAAUAAACCUUCUUCAAGAUAUGUCACUCAAGUUACAAUCUUGGAGUAUGACUCUAAGACUUUGUUUUGGAACGAAGUAUGACUCGUCUUCUUGAUUUAACCAUUCCAACAAUUCAUGUCUCCUCUUCUUAGCCAUAAGAAAUCACUAAGAUGUCCUUAGAGGAUCAUUUGUGAUAUGGUAUCUUAAUAAUUAAGAUGACCAUAAAACAUGAUACUAAAGUACUCUCCCAUCUUUUCAGAUUUUGAGAAACUUUUAUCUUUCUGCCUAAUUUGAUUCCUCUCAUUCGUUCUGCCAUACAUUGAAUAUUUUCCAAUGUUUCAGAAUUAUACUUAAACUUGUAAGUAUAAGCAUAUUUACUAAACUUUAGUAAAUCAUGAUGAAUAGUCUUAUCGAUAUUUAUGGUGAACUUGACUAGUGCACACGAGUGUGUACUCAAUCCCUUAUUCCUUUCACUUGACUUAAUUUUUCAAUGAUGAAAAUUCUCAUUCAUCAUACAACUUGUAUGAUUCCAAGUUUCGGUCCAAUUGAAACAUGGGUGAUGAGAAUCUUUCCUUAUUUGGAAAAUUAUGACACUACCACAUCCGAAAGAAUCAAAUCCAUUUUCCAAUAUUGCUAUCAAUGGAAUCAAAUAAACAACCAUUUUUCACAAAUAACACUGUAAGGAUAUUUAAAAUAAAUAAAAUAAAACCUUAUCUUUUGUUUAAAACUUACAAAAAACCUUUCCUUCCAAUGAAAAUGCAUAUGAAAAAUUUGUAGUUAUCUAUUCCUAAGCAAUAUAUCAUAACUCUUAAGCAGCAACUCACAAUUCUGAUCACCGAACCAUGCAUCGAAAUCCAUCUUCGCAAUCAGAAUCAGCAUAUACUUCCUUUAAGCUUCCUCUCUUCGAUUCUACAAAACAUUAAAAUGUGAUCUGGUCACACCAUGUAUAAGAAUCUCAAAUAGGAACUUAAUAGAUUUAGAUAGUGCACUUUACCCGAAGUAAAGUCAAACUCUUUGACAUUACCAACCUUAUGAGUGUUCAGGUAAAUUAGGCAGCUUCGCAACCAAUGCCCUAUCCUUUGGCAAUAGAAGGUUUAUGGAGUUGAUCUUCUAAUCAAAUUCGCUUUACUAGCCCUCAAAUCAUUUUUGAUUCAGCAGCACCAAGCAAAUAGGUAAGAUCAUUAAGGGUCAAGUCAUGGUCUGUCACAUAGUAGUGCCAAAAGAACUCACUAUGUGACUUAGAAAGUGAUUGAACAUCAAUCUUUCUCAAGACUUUGACACUCAACUCUCCCAACUUGUCAAUAUGUGACUUCAUCUCCAAGAUGUGAUCACACAUACAUCUUGUUUGCCAAUAGGGCUUGAGUGACCUUGAACUUGUGGGUUAGGGAGAAUAAUUGGAGGGGGUGGAGGAAGUGAAAUUCUAAGAGAUUUGGGUAGAUCAUAGAUGUCUAAACUAGACAUCUAAAAUGGGAGAUAUUCAAGUUAGUUUAUUUUUAAGUCCUUAAUAUAACAACCAAUAUGAAACCCAACACAAUAUUUUAUAACUUGGAAGAGGGAUGCUGUAAUCCAAGCUAUAAGAUAUUUGAAGGUAGGUGAAUGACGAUUCACCAAUUUCCAGCAUGAAAAACUAAAUAAUUUAUUAGGUUUUAAUUGGAUUUGAAACUCCUAGAUCUUUUGAGAUUCAUUGAACUUUUC